This 501-nucleotide long non-coding RNA is filed under the name Homo sapiens (human). RNAcentral describes it as "HSALNT0318049". The record is from RNAcentral. Lineage: Eukaryota; Metazoa; Chordata; Mammalia; Primates; Hominidae.
CGCACCCCAUGUCCCCGCCCGCUGUAGCGCCACAGCUCUUUGGGCGUUGAUUCUAGGGUCAGGGCCCUCACUCACACUGCUGGAAGGUUAAAGUCGACUUCACGCUAGUUUAAGGAAAUAUCUGACGCUGAUAACCAUGUCCCAAGCACUGCUCUAAGUUCCCAAUGUGUCCGGAAUUGGUGGGUUCUUGGUCUCACUGACUUCAAGAAUGAAGCCACGGACCCUCGCGUUUUAGACUAUGCUAAAAACAGCCUCAGGACCUUCAGCACUGAUCAACAAUCCUGGGCAUGGGCUGACCGACAGUUUUCACCCAGAGAGUGAAGAUCAUGGAGGAGCCAUCUUAAAUUCUGCCCAGCGCAGGCUCCCAGGAAUCCUAAUGUCACGAUCUCACUGCAGCCAAUGUGACAAACACAGCAGUAAUUAAGUCUAGAGAGCUAAACACACCUCAAAAAGAAUUGUCUCUUGGUAUGAGUGGAAUGGAAUAAAAUACAUGGAAACCCA